CAGCAGCCACGGUAAUACGUAGGGGGCUAGCGUUAUCCGGAUUUACUGGGCGUAAAGGGUGCGUAGGUGGUCCUUCAAGUCGGUGGUUAAAGGCUACGGCUCAACCGUAGUAAGCCGCCGAAACUGGAGGACUUGAGUGCAGGAGAGGAAAGUGGAAUUCCCAGUGUAGCGGUGAAAUGCGUAGAUAUUGGGAGGAACACCAGUAGCGAAGGCGGCUUUCUGGACUGCAACUGGCACUGAGGCACGAAAGCGUGGGUAGCAAACAGGAUUAGAUACCCGUGUAGUCCCUGUCUCUUAUACA
This 301-nucleotide ribosomal RNA is filed under the name uncultured bacterium. Its description in RNAcentral is "partial 16S ribosomal RNA". It matches the Rfam family "Bacterial small subunit ribosomal RNA", at positions 509 to 808 of the family's 1533-position model. The record is from RNAcentral.